This 374-nucleotide ribosomal RNA is filed under the name uncultured organism. RNAcentral's name for it is "partial 16S ribosomal RNA". It matches the Rfam family "Bacterial small subunit ribosomal RNA", at positions 527 to 896 of the family's 1533-position model. The record is from RNAcentral.
GUAGGUGGCAAGCGUUGUCCGGAAUUAUUGGGCGUAAAGCGCGCGCAGGCGGUCCUUUGAGUCUGAUGUGAAAGCCCACGGCUCAACCGUGGAGGGUCAUUGGAAACUGGGGGACUUGAGUACAGAAGAGGAAAGCGGAAUUCCAAGUGUAGCGGUGAAAUGCGUAGAGAUUUGGAGGAACACCAGUGGCGAAGGCGGCUUUCUGGUCUGUAACUGACGCUGAGGCGCGAAAGCGUGGGGAGCAAACAGGAUUAGAUACCCUGGUAGUCCACGCCGUAAACGAUGAGUGCUAAGUGUUAGGGGGUUUCCCGCCCCCCUUAGUGCUGCAGCUAACGCAUUAAGCACUCCGCCUGGGGAGUACGGCCGCAAGGCUG